GACGAACGCUGGCGGCGUGCUUAACACAUGCAAGUCGAACGGAAAGGCCCUGCUUUUGUGGGGUGCUCGAGUGGCGAACGGGUGAGUAACACGUGAGUAACCUGCCCUUUACUUUGGGAUAACUUCAGGAAACUGGGGCUAAUACCGGAUAGGAGCUCCUGCUGCAUGGUGGGGGUUGGAACGUUUCGGCGGUUGGGGAUGGACUCGCGGGUUAUCAGCUUGUUGGUGGGGUAGUGGCUUACCAAGGCUUUGACGGCUAGCCGGCCUGAGAGGGUGACCGGCCACAUUGGGACUGAGAUAGGCAGCAGACUCCUACAGGAGGCAACAGUGGAAAAUAUUGCACAAUGGGCGGAAGCCUGAUGCAGCAACACCGCGUGCGGGAUGACGGCCUUCGGGUUGUAAACCGCAGUCGCCUGUGACGAAGCGUGAGUGACGGUAAUGGGUAAAGAAGCACCGGCUAACUACGUG
This 468-nucleotide ribosomal RNA is filed under the name uncultured bacterium. RNAcentral's name for it is "partial 16S ribosomal RNA". It matches the Rfam family "Bacterial small subunit ribosomal RNA", at positions 28 to 507 of the family's 1533-position model. The record is from RNAcentral.